Molecule: long non-coding RNA, 2470 nt
Filed under: Solanum tuberosum (potato)
Lineage: Eukaryota; Viridiplantae; Streptophyta; Magnoliopsida; Solanales; Solanaceae
Description: long non-coding RNA (STUB_LNC009333)
Source: RNAcentral
UAUCAAAAAGAAUCCGAAGGUAAUACCUUCGUACGUAAUUAUUUCCUGUGAAUUUCAAAAUCCCCAAGUAAUUUACUUAGGGAUUUAAAUUUCGCAGGUAAAUAACUUGCGAUUUUUCUUGCAAAAAACACCAAAAAUAUCCCAAAUUUUUUCCAAUUUAUUCGCAAGUAAAUCCGUGUAAAGAUAUUCUAAUUAAUCUUUAAAAAUUUCUUGUAAAUAAUAUUAAUUAUUAUUUCCCAGUUACAUCUAACACCACUCACCCCACUGCCCACCCAUUUAUUGUUAGGUACACAAGACUUUUCACAUUAAUUAGUUAAUGAGGGAAACUCCAUUAUUCUUCAUAUAUAGGACCGUCUCGUAUUAACUAGCAGACGAUGACUUCUAAGUCUUUAAGCCAAAUUCAUGAUAUGCUUGAAGUUUGAUUCAUCAAUUACUAGUGAUUACGAUAAGGAAUGCUACUCUUUCUAUUUCAUGCUUCUUCUAUAUGCUUAUUGCACUUUUUUUUUCAAUUUUUUUUCUAUAAAUGAACUAUGUUGCUCAGGCUCUCCUAAAAUAUGAUAAUGUUGCACCAAUGUUGGUUCCUUAAAAAAUACACAACUUUUGAAGAAUCUAACACGUACCUGUUGACAUUUUAAAAUAAUCUAAGUAACAUAGUUUUUAAGAUAGUACUAGCUUUGAUGCACGUGCAUUGCACAUGAAUGCUAAAUCAUGUAGUACACUAUAUUUUAAAUUAAAUAAAUAAAUAUAAUAUAACAUAUUAUAAAUUAUAGAAAAAUAUACUAAAUUAAGUGUUUUAAGUUGAAAAUAUUAUAGCAAUUUAACAUUAGUAUAGAUGGAUAGGUAGAAAUUUGAACUCCUAUUUUAAGUCAUUCUUGUCUAACUUUCCAUCAACAUCUCUUCUUCUAUUUUCCACAAUACUUUUCAAAGAGAGAAACUAUUGUAUGACCAAGUCAAUUGAGAAAAAUAAAAAUAAAUGAGCAAUAAAGACAUGAUGUUACUCCAUUUCAUCUUACAUAUUAUGACAAGAAGGGACACUUUAAUCAAGUGAAACCAAGUUGUAUGAAUGCAAUAAAUUUUAGUGCAAUUUUCUACGGAAUUUAUAUAAUCAUAAAAAGUCAAGACGUGUCAUUGAACCAAUUAUGAGAACAGUUAGGGUACGUUCGGGAUAGAGAAACCAAUCGUUAGAAUGCAAUAAACUUUUAUGGAAUUUAAUUUAUACAAUAUUCCGAGUUAGUGAUUAGUUGUCUCUUCUGCUAUUUCAAACUUGUUAGGUACCCAAUAGUUUUCAAUCACAUUAAGCUAAUGAGGGAAAAUCCAUCAAUAUUCCAUUCCACCAAAGGAAAUAAGGGAUACGGUACCAACAUGGGUAAGUGGUGCACUCGGGUUCGAGCCCUGGGUAUGGAGAAAAUUUUGUUGGGAGCGCCACCCCCAAAUGGGCCCUGCAGAGCGCGAUCCGAAUUUAGUCGGAACUCCAAUGUGGGCUCCAGACACCGGGUGGAAAACCAAAAAAAAAGAGGAUACGGUAAUGUAACUAGCGGACGAUGACUUGUAAGCCUUGAAGCCAAAGGGGAAAAAGAUUAUGAUAAUCGGGAUUGAUGUACAAUUGAAUCACAAAGUUGAAGAAAGAAAAAGUUUAGAAAAACUGAAUCACAAAGUUCAUUUCGAGGUCAUUAACUAUCGCUGCAGUGUGUGUUAUGCAAGAUGAUGUGAAGUUGGUCCCAUUAUGUGGAAAAAUUUUCUGCAGAACUUCUAAGAAAUUUCCAAUGACGGAAACUAUUGCUUGACUAAGUCAAGUGAGGAAAAAAAUGAAGAAUAAUUAAAGACAUGAUUUAAUUUUUUUUCUUUUUCUUUUAUUUGCUUUUUAUUCAAAAUUUUGUUUGAUAUGUGUCUUAAUUUUCUGCAUAAUUAGCAUGUUUUGAAUAACUUGGUGAAGAUCAUUUUAUGAGAAAUUUCCAAGACUUUUCAUAUUUAGUUAAUGAGGGAAACUCCAUCUAUCUGAUACAGUUCAAACAUGAAGAGAUGGAGAAUAACCAAAGUAGUAGAGAGGCUGUUUUCGUAGACCACUACAAGAAAAAUGCGAAUUAUAUUGGGAUUUUACUGGGGAUUAUUAAUGAAAAUUCGCAGGAAAAUAUGUUUCCUGGAAACAUAUUUAAAACCUUCGUAGGUAAUUAUUUCCUGUGAAUUUCAAAAUCCCCAAGUAAUUUACCUAGGGAUUUAAAUUUCGCAGGUAAAUAACGUGCGAAUUUUCUUGCAAAAAACACCAAAAAUAUCCCAAAUUUUUUCCAAUUUAUUCGCAAGUAAAUCCACGUAAAGAUAUUCUAAUAAAUCUUUAAAAAUUUCUUGUAAAUAAUAUUAAUUAUUAUUUCCCAGUUACAUCUAACACCACUCACCCCACUGCCCACCCAUUUAUCUUGCAUACCAUUUUUCAUACCAUUCAUCACAUACCACUUGAACACAAUUUUAAUUCCCC